Molecule: ribosomal RNA, 254 nt
Filed under: uncultured bacterium
Lineage: Bacteria
Description: partial 16S ribosomal RNA
Rfam family: Bacterial small subunit ribosomal RNA
Source: RNAcentral
UACGUAGGGUGCGAGCGUUGUCCGGAAUUAUUGGGCGUAAAGAGCUCGUAGGCGGUCUGUCGCGUCGGUCGUGAAAACUUGGGGCUUAACCCUGAGCUUGCGGUCGAUACGGGCAUGACUGGAGUUCGGCAGGGGAGACUGGAAUUCCUGGUGUAGAGGUGAAAUUCGUAGAUAUCGGGAGGAACACCGGUGGCGAAGGCGGCGACCUGGGUCGACACUGACGCUGAGGCGCGAAAGCGUGGGGAGCAAACAGG